GCUGAGUGAUGCUCGCUGGCUGUCUCCCUCUCUCCCUGCGCUGCCUGGCUGUGCCUCUUUCUGCCCAACGUUGAUGAACCAUUUUAUGCUACAGAGCUGCCAUAGCCAUCAUCCCUGGUUCCGCUGCUUUUCUGUCCUUUCAACAACAGUAGGAAACAUCUGCCACUGCAUCGGUCCUUUAACCGCUGCUGCUAAGCUGAGAAAUGAAGUUUUGCCCCUCCAGCUCCCAGGUGUGCAGCGUUUGGACAGCUUUCGUCUUCUAGAGGACAACGGCGGGGCUCUGAGACUCAACCCGGAGACCCUGAGCCACCAAAGGCUAAAGCAGAAGUUACUGGUGAGUUCUCUGUGUGAAAGGGAGAUAAAGGGCAUGGCCCAUUAGAGGCAGUUGAAAACUGUGGAGGAAUUUGCUUUCAGCAAUUGUCUGGCUUUCGUGUUCCUCUCUC
RNAcentral lists this long non-coding RNA (443 nucleotides) under Cottoperca gobio. Its description in RNAcentral is "lncRNA (ENSCGOG00000019184.1)". Lineage: Eukaryota; Metazoa; Chordata; Actinopteri; Perciformes; Bovichtidae. The record is from RNAcentral.